GUGUUCCAACAGUCCCGGUGUCCUGGUGAUUUUAUCCCCACACCAUUACGUUAAUCCACCCUUCUAGUUUCUUCCUUCCACCGAUUCUUAUCCAAACCUUUCGGUUGUCUUUCUUCCUUCCUCCGCUAUAGUUCAUUUCCACCACCGUCCAAUCCAGCGCGUCCACUUUAUCCAUAGGUAUCGGUCUACCAAAAGUUGUGGAAGUCGCAUGACUGCUACCGUGUGGCUCCUCCAACUUCCUUUCUCUUCUUCUUCAUUUGAAAUUGAUUACCCAGGUAACUGCAUCUGCAUCUGCAUCUCCUCUCGUAUGUUCAUCUCCUCUCACCGAUUUCAUACAUCGUCUUCAUAAUUGAACCUUGGACGCACUAUAAACACCUCCACGGCAUCUCCCUCAAGAAACUAUUCUCAAGGACAUUUCAGGUCAAUCAAUUUACAGCAAACUAUUUUCGUUUUUUCUUUUGUUUGAUUGGUGCAUCAUAUGUUUUGGUUAGGAGUUAAAUAAAGAAUUUGAAUUCUUCAUUUGGAAAUACGAAGAUUUAAUUCAUUUUAGGAUCCAUGGAUUCUAAUGAUUUUGUAAGAAAUUGAAAUCAAUUUUGUAAGAACAAUUGAAAUUUAGCUCUUAUUGUAAAGUUGUUGUUUAUGUAUCAAUUUAUGUUGUUUUUUUAAGUUCAUGAUCAUCAUUGAUGAUUUACAAGCUAUGAGUUUAUACAAAGUAUGUAGCAAUGUAAUUGUUUUGUAGUAAUGAUGUUGUAUGUAGCAAAACCAACAAUUACAAAUAUGAUUCAGAACUUUCGAAGGCUAAAAGAAGAGUAGGAGAGACUACUAACAUGGUUCUUGGAGGAACAAUCACCAAUGACUCCACCUAUGACUCUCUCAGUCUGAAUAAAAUGCUAAACAUAUACCCACUUGCUCGAGGAUUUACAGCCAUUGGAUCUGGAGGUGAUGAUUUUCUGCAAUCCAUGGUUGUUGCUGUUGAGUCUGUAGGUUCCCCUUUUCACGCCUAGAUAUGUAUGAUGCAUAAUCAGAAAUCAAGUGUGUUUCAGCAACUGUACCAGCUUGCUCAACAGAAGAUACUGAAUCUGAAAUCAACCAUCAAAUGUUCAAAAAAGUGAUAAUUAAACAGCAUCCAAGGAUGAGUACAUACAUGAUUUGUAUGCUGUGAAAGAUGAUGAAGAUACAUCAUCCCCAUUUCCAUUGUAAGGAUUCAUCACUUUUCUCUAAGGCUCCAUGAAUUACCUUUUUGGCCUUGCCUCUACAUUUCAGCAGUUUGAUGUUAGUCAAGACAACAGCCAGUUUGAACAGACAAUCACGCCUACAUAUAUCAGGUUCUUCUGUUGAUAAUAAAUAACUUUGAUUUUUUGGAAAAGAGGAAGAAAUCUAUGUGUUUAGAAGUAUUUCUUUUUUUGAUAAAAUUAGAAAUGUGGUGAAUUAUAGGAACACAAGAACCAUAUAUGCACAAAGAAUGGUUGUUGAAGCAAUGAAGAAGAUGGAGACUCCUCCAUCCCCUGUUCGGUUCUUGCCUUUGAUCAAUGAACAAAACCUAAAGGGCCAGUUUUGGCCCCAAAUAAAGUAUUAAAAACCAACAAAUUAGCAUCACUUAAUAGCUCAUAUAGGAGUUGAAAUCUGGAGAAUUGAAAACUUUCAACUACUUCCUUUGCCCAAAUCAGAUUAUGGUAGAUUCUACAUGGGUGAAACCCGAUCCUAAUGCUAUCCCUCAUUUUUUUUAGUUUCCCAAAUCAACGGUUUCAAUUAAUAAAAUACCAACUUAUCAUUGGGGAUUAGGUUAUUUUCAUCGUUGGUUUAUGAUAAAAAGGUUUUCCCCUGUUUUUAAACUAUCAUAUAACCUUUUUUGUAUUAAUUUUCCUUCUUAUCACUAACAAUAAUGUCUAACUAUUUUUUUUAAAUUGUGGUGGAGGCUGCAACAUCAUGUUGGGGGAUGUUUGUUAAUUCGUGGUGUUGAAGGCGUGUAGAAAAGAUGUCGUCUCAACUCAAAAGCGAGCAUUGCACACUAGCUAUCGCCCGAAUCUCAACCGUUGCAGCCAGUUUAGUCAUCAUAACACGUCUAGCAGUCAACCGGUCUGCCCGACUGCAUAGAAGAUUCCAUUGGGUUUAAAGCUACAAGGGAGACCCGAUAAAGGUCAAGGAGGAGGAAUUGGAGCAGUACCCAUGAGAGGCAACAGUUGGGCUGGUGUUGUCUUAGACUAAAUUUGGUUAAAUUAAUUUUGUACUCAAGUGUUUUAAAAAGAGAAUACAUUUCGGUUUGCUUUUACUUUACUUCAUUUUUUAAGCAUCAUACUUUCAUAGUCAA
This is a non-coding RNA of Lactuca sativa (garden lettuce), 2308 nucleotides long. The record is from RefSeq and is a predicted model, not a curated record. NCBI's taxonomy places the organism in Eukaryota, Viridiplantae, Streptophyta, Magnoliopsida, Asterales, Asteraceae.